AUGGAUUUCUGCUUUUUGGUUCCAGGUAUAUGUGUUGCACUUGCCCUCUGUAUCGCUGUGCCAAGAGCUAGCAAGAACCGUUUCUUUAAUUACGCAUUUUUGCGAUACACUGUAAUUAUCAUCAUACUGAACUGCUUUCAAUCCACACAGGGUGGGGGGCAGCCUGCUCUACAAUACGUUGCUUGUGGCGUGAUUAGUUUUGUUGCUGUUCACUGUUUGUGGAAUGUAGAAGUAAAACAGCCGAUGAGUGAAGUGUGGGAUUGGAACAUGUAUGGAACCAAACUGAAGUUUCAUGGAUGGUUUAUUAACACUGCCAAUGAGGAUGGUGACGGAGGUGAGGAUGAUGCUUCAUUUGCCUCGGAGCAUUCCGAUGAUGAAGAUUUGACGGAGGUGUCAAUUUUACGUGUGGUGCAAGUGUUGGCCAUUCGUGCAAACUUCCGUAUCAGCCGUAUGAACGCCCAUGACUGGUACCAAAGUUUUGUCAUCUAUACGGCGCUCGAGGGGGAAGUACAAGAGGAAGGAAUGGAUUUGGUACUCACUGGACCAUGUGGGAUACUACAGGCUUACGGUGGCAUUUGCUUGGAGGUUUUCACAGAAGACCUGGUUUUCACAGAAGACGAUGAGGGGUCUUCUACUGAUGAUGAGGGGUCUUGGGGCGGUCAUUUCCGCCGAGGCUGGGAUGUUACUGAUCCUGAUGAAGUUGAGGAAUUCACACAAACCAUCUAUGGAGGCCUUGGCCGCAAGUUGGAGAUCACAUAUUUGGUGAUUCCGGAAGCAGUUGAGACCUAUGUUGAGGUCAGGUUGAACCUCAAAGACUUCGGUUUGAGAAGCCGCUCUGUGUAUGGUAGCGUCAAGGCAAUUGCCGUUGACUAUGGGAGCAAAAGCGUCAAUCUCUUCAGUUUUGAACGAGGCAGUAGCUUGUCCCUACCCUGUGGUUCCACGUGCAUUCUUCCACUGGGACCACACAUGAUUGCAUUGCCUAAAGGUAGAUAG
This 993-nucleotide ribosomal RNA is filed under the name Triticum aestivum (bread wheat). Its description in RNAcentral is "partial small subunit ribosomal RNA". The record is from RNAcentral. Lineage: Eukaryota; Viridiplantae; Streptophyta; Magnoliopsida; Poales; Poaceae.